CUUUACACAUGCAAGUCGAACGGUAACGCGGUGAGAAGCCUGCUUCUCACCGGCGACGAGUGGCGAACGGGUGAGUAAUACAUCGGAACGUGUCCGCUCGUGGGGGACAACCAGCCGAAAGGUUGGCUAAUACCGCAUGAGUUCUACGGAAGAAAGAGGGGGGCCCGCAAGGGCCUCUCGCGAGCGGAGCGGCCGAUGACUGAUUAGCCGGUUGGUGAGGUAACGGCUCACCAAAGCAACGAUCAGUAGCUGGUCUGAGAGGACGACCAGCCACACUGGGACUGAGACACGGCCCAGACUCCUACGGGAGGCAGCAGUGGGGAAUUUUGGACAAUGGGCGCAAGCCUGAUCCAGCUAUUCCGCGUGUGGGAUGAAGGCCCUCGGGUUGUAAACCACUUUUGUAGAGAACGAAAAGACACCUUCGAAUAAAGGGUGUUGCUGACGGUACUCUAAGAAUAAGCACCGGCUAACUACGUGCCAGCAGCCGCGGUAAUACGUAGGGUGCGAGCGUUAAUCGGAAUUACUGGGCGUAAAGGGUGCGCAGGCGGUUGAGUAAGACAGAUGUGAAAUCCCCGAGCUUAACUCGGGAAUGGCAUAUGUGACUGCUCGACUAGAGUGUGUCAGAGGGAGGUGGAAUUCCACGUGUAGCAGUGAAAUGCGUAGAUAUGUGGAAGAACACCGAUGGCGAAGGCAGCCUCCCUGGGACAUAACUGACGCUCAGGCACGAAAGCGUGGGGAGCAAACAGGAUUAGAUACCCUGGUAGUCCACGCCCUAAACGAUGUUAACUAGUUGUUGGGAAGUAAAAUUCUCAGUAACGCAGCCAACGCGAGAAGUUAACCGCCUGGGAAGUACGGUCGCAAGACUAAAACUCAAAGGAAUUGACGGGGACCCGCACAAGCGGUGGAUGAUGUGGAUUAAUUCGAUGCAACGCGAAAAACCUUACCUACCCUUGACAUGUCAGGAAGCUCUUGUAAUGAGAGUGUGCCCGCAAGGGAGCCUGAACACAGGUGCUGCAUGGCUGUCGUCAGCUCGUGUCGUGAGACGUUGGGUUAAGUCCCGCAACGAGCGCAACCCUUGUCACUAGUUGCUACGAAAGGGCACUCUAGUGAGACUGCCGGUGACAAACCGGAGGAAGGUGGGGAUGACGUCAAGUCCUCAUGGCCCUUAUGGGUAGGGCUUCACACGUCAUACAAUGGUCGGAACAGAGGGCAGCGAAGUCGUGAGACGGAGCCAAUCCCAGAAAACCGAUCGUAGUCCGGAUUGCAGUCUGCAACUCGACUGCAUGAAGUCGGAAUCGCUAGUAAUCGCGGAUCAGCAUGCCGCGGUGAAUACGUUCCCGGGUCUUGUACACACCGCCCGUCAAACAAUGGGAGUGGUGUUUACCAGAAGUCGUUAGCCUAACCGCAAGGAGGGCGGCGACCACGGUGAGCACCGUGACU
Molecule: ribosomal RNA, 1440 nt
Filed under: uncultured organism
Description: 16S ribosomal RNA
Rfam family: Bacterial small subunit ribosomal RNA
Source: RNAcentral